GUCUUUUUGAAAAUUUAUUUAAAGUCUAAUCUGCCCACUGAAAAAAUUUAAAGGGCCGCAGUAUAAUUGUGCAAAGGUAGCAUAAUAAAUAGUUUAUUAAUUGUAAACUAGAAUGAAUGAUUUGACGAAAUAUUAACUGUUUCAAUUUUAUAUAAAUAGAACUUUUUUUUUAAUAAAAAAAUUAAAAUAAAAUAAAUAGACGAGAAGACCCUAUAAAUCUUUAUAUAAUUUAAAAUUUAUUUAAAAAAAAAUUUUAAAUUAUAUUAAAUUGGGGUGAUUAAAAAAUUUAAUAAACUUUUAUAAUUAUUAAUAAUUAUUUUUAUUUUAUUUAAAAUAAUCUAUUUUUAUAAAUAAAGAUAAAUGAUACUUUAGGGAUAACAGCGUAAUUUUAAUUUUGAGAUCUUAUUGAAAUUAAAGAUUGCGACCUCGAUGUUGGAUUAAAAUUAAUUUUAAAUGCAAAAGUUUAAAAAUUGGGUCUGUUCGACCUUUAAAAUUUU
Molecule: ribosomal RNA, 497 nt
Filed under: Rakiura vernale
Lineage: Eukaryota; Metazoa; Arthropoda; Insecta; Trichoptera; Helicopsychidae
Description: partial 16S ribosomal RNA
Rfam family: Archaeal large subunit ribosomal RNA (bases 374-497)
Source: RNAcentral